GUUUUAUUUUGCCAGCACAUAUACUAAAAUUGGAAUGAUACAGACAAAAAAUCAGCAUGGCCCCUAGCAAAAAUUAUAUGAAAAUUCACAAAGCAUUCCAUAUUUUU
This 107-nucleotide small nuclear RNA is filed under the name Sciurus vulgaris (Eurasian red squirrel). Lineage: Eukaryota; Metazoa; Chordata; Mammalia; Rodentia; Sciuridae. The record is from RNAcentral.